CGCGGGGUGGAGCAGUCUGGUAGCUCGUUGGGCUCAUAACCCAAAGGUCGUAGGUUCAAAUCCUGCCUCCGCAA
This 74-nucleotide transfer RNA is filed under the name Roseateles toxinivorans. Its description in RNAcentral is "Paucibacter toxinivorans tRNA". It matches the Rfam family "tRNA". From Rfam's summary of the family: Transfer RNA (tRNA) molecules are approximately 80 nucleotides in length. Their secondary structure includes four short double-helical elements and three loops (D, anti-codon, and T loops). Further hydrogen bonds mediate the characteristic L-shaped molecular structure. tRNAs have two regions of fundamental functional importance: the anti-codon, which is responsible for specific mRNA codon recognition, and the 3' end, to which the tRNAs corresponding amino acid is attached (by aminoacyl-tRNA synthetases). tRNAs cope with the degeneracy of the genetic code in two manners: having more than one tRNA (with a specific anti-codon) for a particular amino acid; and 'wobble' base-pairing, i.e. permitting non-standard base-pairing at the 3rd anti-codon position. Lineage: Bacteria; Pseudomonadati; Pseudomonadota; Betaproteobacteria; Burkholderiales; Sphaerotilaceae. The record is from Rfam by way of RNAcentral.